RNAcentral lists this long non-coding RNA (1643 nucleotides) under Mus musculus (house mouse). RNAcentral describes it as "RIKEN cDNA 2310047K21 gene (2310047K21Rik)". Lineage: Eukaryota; Metazoa; Chordata; Mammalia; Rodentia; Muridae. The record is from RNAcentral.
GCCCCGCGCUGCUGGCUGCGGAUUCGGGAGCCGGGCCGGACGAGGGCUGCUCCGUGGACGCCCUAGCGGUGAAGAGAAGGCCUACGCGCCGGAGCACCCGCAUGGGUGCGGACAGGAGAGGGCUUGCCAGCACUGUGCCUGGAGUUCGUUACUCUGCGCUCCCGGGUUCUUUGAAGGAACUCAAACACUCGAUUCCCGCUUGUGAUUUCUUUCUCUGCGCCCCAAACCACAGACAAGGGACUGUUGCUUUGCAGUACUCGCUUCCUGCCCAAAGUUUGCUGGGCUUAGAGGAUCUGGUUCCUGCUUCCUGGGGGAGAUUUCUAUUCAAAUUGAUUCAAAUUCAAACGAAUUUUGCAGCCCUAGCUGAAUGGGCCUUUCCCAGGGGCACUUAUUAACUGUCCCCACCCCCCACCUUGGGGAUUUUCUUACUCUGGAGUUCAGAAUCUUCUAUCCCAAGAUAAAUACCGCCUCAUCAUUGAUUAGUCCAACUACCAUCUGGAUGACUUUAAUUACAAUACAUUCGAACUCACUAUGCACUUUGUUGGGGCUCUCUGCUCAAGAUGUUUAAUCUCUGCAAGACUCUACCCAAACAUUGCCUUAUCGGACUUCUAAGCUGUGUGGUGUGAGUAAUUUGAUGACUUUGAGGUCGUGCCUACCCGAACUGUUUCUCCUUAUGAGUAAUGAAAUUCAGGGAUCAUAUGAAUCGUUUGGCUUGUGAUCCAUAAGUUGAAAGUUAAAACUAACCGUGAAGCUUAGAUUUAAUGACUAUCUCUCCUUUUAAAAAAAAUCAAUAUUGGCUUAACACCUAUCACGUGCUUAGCAAAGAGAUCUCUCAAGAUAAAGACUAGCACAAAGGUUUAAGCCAAUCAGACAGGCGUAACGGAAGACCUAAUAGAGCUGAUACUCUCUAUCUCUGGUGACUAUCUAAACUUCUGUAAUACCUGCCAUUAGAUCUGCCAUCCCCUCCGAGACUGAUUUUGUUCUGAGACUAUGUUUUCCUCCUGGCGCCUUCAUUCUUUUGUUUCUAUGCUGUUUUUAGUGAAAAACCUUCUGCACCUGUGACUCUUGCAGCCUGGUCCCCCGGUGGGGAAGAAAAGAAAGUAGUGGUAAUUUACAAAUGAAUUCGAAGGUGUGGACGCAGUAGACCUUUCCAGUUUUAUGUUAAUCUCAUUAAGCAUUUACCUAGGAUAUCUUUGGAAAGUGGUUUUCCUUGAGGAAGGAAUUUGCCAAAUCUCAGAUCCAGCUGAGAAGUACGGCAAAUAUCCUCCUCCCUCUACAACAUUUACUUCCAGCAGACUGGUGAUCUGGAGUCUAAAUGAAGCAAGUCUUCACAACUAGCUAAUAUAUUUAUAAGUACUUUUGUGAGCACUAAAUUUUUGUCUCUGUGGAACGUGUGGGAAACGGAGUGGUAUGCUGUAAAUGUUUUAUAGAAUUUAGUUGGAGAUACAACCAGUAUUGAAGGGUGAGUUUACAGAUUAAAUCCAAACAAGUGGCAGUAAAACCUUUAUAGUCUUUACAACAGUAUGCAGUUUGUUUAUACCACAGAAAUCAGAGAAAAGACAUUAAGGAAAAAUUGUAGUAAUUUGAAAUAAUAUUCUUAUUUCCAUAUAUCUUCCUGAAUAAAGUUUUGUUUAACCCAAAAA